Molecule: ribosomal RNA, 497 nt
Filed under: uncultured bacterium
Lineage: Bacteria
Description: partial 16S ribosomal RNA
Rfam family: Bacterial small subunit ribosomal RNA
Source: RNAcentral
GACGAACGCUGGCGGCGUGCCUAAUACAUGCAAGUUGAGCGAUGAAGAUUGGUGCUUGCACCAAUUUGAAGAGCAGCGAACGGGUGAGUAACGCGUGGGGAAUCUGCCUUUGAGCGGGGGACAACAUUUGGAAACGAAUGCUAAUACCGCAUAACAACUUUAAACAUAAGUUUUAAGUUUGAAAGAUGCAAUUGCAUCACUCAAAGAUGAUCCCGCGUUGUAUUAGCUAGUUGGUGAGGUAAAGGCUCACCAAGGCGAUGAUACAUAGCCGACCUGAGGGGGUGAUCGGCCACAUUGGGACUGAGACACGGCCCAAACUCCUACGGGAGGCAGCAGUAGGGAAUCUUCGGCAAUGGACGAAAGUCUGACCGAGCAACGCCGCGUGAGUGAAGAAGGUUUUCGGAUCGUAAAACUCUGUUGGUAGAGAAGAACGUUGGUGAGAGUGGAAAGCUCAUCAAGUGACGGUAACUACCCAGAAAGGGACGGCUAACUACGUG